AAGACUUUAAGUUAAAAAAACUAUAUGCCUUCAAAGUAUAAAUUAUUUCUAAAUAAGUCUUA
RNAcentral lists this transfer RNA (62 nucleotides) under Argas miniatus. Its description in RNAcentral is "tRNA-Trp". The record is from RNAcentral. Lineage: Eukaryota; Metazoa; Arthropoda; Arachnida; Ixodida; Argasidae.